GCUAAAGCAGCAGGAGUUGGCAGAGCGACGGAUGCGGACGCGGUCAUCAACAGGGGCUGCAAGAGAAGGAGCUCAAGUUGGUUCACGGUUUGCCUUUGCAUCCUCUCUACCCUCUUCCCUCACUCACAUCUCCCCCUUUUCUCAUGGAUGAGGGCUCGGUUGCAGGUGUGCAGGAGGAGUUGAAGGCUGAGGUUGUUUGACGGCCGGACCAGCAAGAGCAAGGAGCCAACGGUGGUCAAUUUCUUGCAUCCCAUCCUGGACUCUAAAAGCUAUAGUUUGACUUUUUGCUUCAAUGAAUGGUAAAGCACCAUGUUGGUUACAUUAGAUUUGUUUGUCAGGCUUGUCUAAAGUCAAUAAUUUCUUGAUCCAUUUUCAAUUUAAGUAAACCAUCCAGAU
RNAcentral lists this long non-coding RNA (396 nucleotides) under Triticum aestivum (bread wheat). RNAcentral's name for it is "long non-coding RNA (TAES_LNC002939)". The record is from RNAcentral. Lineage: Eukaryota; Viridiplantae; Streptophyta; Magnoliopsida; Poales; Poaceae.